ACAUGCAGUCGAGCGGACAGAAGGGAGCUUGCUCCCGGAUGUUAGCGGMGGACGGGUGAGUAACACGUGGGUAACCUGCCUGUAAGACUGGGAUAACUCCGGGAAACCGGAGCUAAUACCGGAUAGUUCCUUGAACCGCAUGGUUCAAGGAUGAAAGACGGUUUCGGCUGUCACUUACAGAUGGACCCGCGGCGCAUUAGCUAGUUGGUGGGGUAAUGGCUCACCAAGGCGACGAUGCGUAGCCGACCUGAGAGGGUGAUCGGCCACACUGGGACUGAGACACGGCCCAGACUCCUACGGGAGGCAGCAGUAGGGAAUCUUCCGCAAUGGACGAAAGUCUGACGGAGCAACGCCGCGUGAGUGAUGAAGGUUUUCGGAUCGUAAAGCUCUGUUGUUAGGGAAGAACAAGUGCGAGAGUAACUGCUCGCACCUUGACGGUACCUAACCAGAAAGCCACGGCUAACUACGUGCCAGCAGCCGCGGUAAUACGUAGGUGGCAAGCGUUGUCCGGAAUUAUUGGGCGUAAAGGGCUCGCAGGCGGUUUCUUAAGUCUGAUGUGAAAGCCCCCGGCUCAACCGGGGAGGGUCAUUGGAAACUGGGAAACUUGAGUGCAGAAGAGGAGAGUGGAAUUCCACGUGUAGCGGUGAAAUGCGUAGAGAUGUGGAGGAACACCAGUGGCGAAGGCGACUCUCUGGUCUGUAACUGACGCUGAGGAGCGAAAGCGUGGGGAGCGAACAGGAUUAGAUACCCUGGUAGUCCACGCCGUAAACGAUGAGUGCUAAGUGUUAGGGGGUUUCCGCCCCUUAGUGCUGCAGCUAACGCAUUAAGCACUCCGCCUGGGGAGUACGGUCGCAAGACUGAAACUCAAAGGAAUUGACGGGGGCCCGCACAAGCGGUGGAGCAUGUGGUUUAAUUCGAAGCAACGCGAAGAACCUUACCAGGUCUUGACAUCCUCUGACAACCCUAGAGAUAGGGCUUUCCCUUCGGGGACAGAGUGACAGGUGGUGCAUGGUUGUCGUCAGCUCGUGUCSUGAGAUGUUGGGUUAAGUCCCGCAACGAGCGCAACCCUUGAUCUUAGUUGCCAGCAUUUAGUUGGGCMCUCUAAGGUGACUGCCCGUGACAAACCGGAAGAAAGGUGGGAAUUANNA
This 1148-nucleotide ribosomal RNA is filed under the name Bacillus safensis. Its description in RNAcentral is "bacterial SSU rRNA". It matches the Rfam family "Bacterial small subunit ribosomal RNA", at positions 53 to 1185 of the family's 1533-position model. The record is from RNAcentral. Lineage: Bacteria; Bacillati; Bacillota; Bacilli; Caryophanales; Bacillaceae.